GUAGGUGGCAAGCGUUGUCCGGGAAUUAUUGGGGCGUAUAGCGCGCGCAGGCGGUUCUUUAAGUCUGAUGUGAAAGCCCACGGGCUCAACCGUGGAGGGUCAUUGGAAACUGGAGAACUUGAGUACAGAAGAGGAAAGCGGAAUUCCACGUGUAGCGGUGAAAUGCGUAGAGAUGUGGAGGAACACCAGUGGCGAAGGCGGCUUUCUGGUCUGUAACUGACGCUGAGGCGCGAAAGCGUGGGGAGCAAACAGGAUUAGAUACCCUGGUAGUCCACGCCGUAAACGAUGAGUGCUAAGUGUUAGGGGGUUUCCGCCCCUUAGUGCUGCAGCUAACGCAUUAAGCACUCCGCCUGGGGAGUACGGCCGCAAAGGCUGA
Molecule: ribosomal RNA, 376 nt
Filed under: uncultured organism
Description: partial 16S ribosomal RNA
Rfam family: Bacterial small subunit ribosomal RNA
Source: RNAcentral